GGAGGAAAGCAGGGGAUCGCAAGACCUUGCACUUUUGGAGCGGCCGAUGUCUGAUUAGCUAGUUGGUGGGGUAAUGGCCUACCAAAGCUUCGAUCAGUAGCUGGUCUGAGAGGACGGCCAGCCACACUGGGACUGAGACACGGCCCAGACUCCUACGGGAGGCAGCAGUGGGGAAUUUUGGACAAUGGGCGCAAGCCUGAUCCAGCAAUGCCGCGUGAGUGAAGAAGGCCUUCGGGUUGUAAAGCUCUUUCAGUCGAGAAGAAAAGGCUGUGGUAAAUAAUCGCAGCUCAUGACGGUAUCGACAGAAGAAGCACCGGCUAACUACGUGCCAGCAGCCGCGGUAAUACGUAGGGUGCAAGCGUUAAUCGGAAUUACUGGGCGUAAAGGGUGCGCAGGCGGUUUUGUAAGUCAGAUGUGAAAUCCCCGGGCUUAACCUGGGAACUGCGUUUGAAACUACAAGGCUAG
This 465-nucleotide ribosomal RNA is filed under the name uncultured bacterium. RNAcentral describes it as "bacterial SSU rRNA". It matches the Rfam family "Bacterial small subunit ribosomal RNA", at positions 198 to 644 of the family's 1533-position model. The record is from RNAcentral.